Microplitis mediator is the source of this 880-nucleotide long non-coding RNA. RefSeq lists it as uncharacterized. The transcript has 3 exons. NCBI's taxonomy places the organism in Eukaryota, Metazoa, Arthropoda, Insecta, Hymenoptera, Braconidae. The record is from RefSeq and is a predicted model, not a curated record.
CCCUCCGUAAAAUCCAUGGGCACCAUACACUCCAUGAUCACCGUAGCCCCAAACUGCACCACGACGGUCGCGUCCGGCAGCCGCAACACCGAAAAUAGCCAAAGCGAUGAUCUGUGCACGAUAACUUUGUAUAAGGAUUACAAGUAGGCGAUCGAUAAUUACACCUUUGGAUGAGUCACUUCACACGAUUCCUCAGGUGAAGUAGCGUCUGCGAGGGAAGAUAAAAAUUGUGAAAGAAGGAAGCUGAGAAGGUAUCAUAGACGUAACACUGUUAGUCUCCAGCAAGCAAACUAACGAUUAUGGUCUAAUGUGGCACUCAACAGUCGGGUGGUGCAUAACCAUUUGCCUUUCACUUUCAGUGCUCGGCUAUAAUACAUUACGAUUCCUAUCCGGUGUGUUUGCGGAAAUUGAAUUUUAUAAAAAAUUCAAACAAGUAUAUACUCAAUAAUUACUGUCCGAUAUUUAUCACCAAUGGGAUUAAUAAAUUUAAUUGCUUGCGUUGUUUGAAAGAAAAAACAAAUGUUUAGACAAGUCACGCGAUAAAUAAUUGUAUCCGUACUUUGAAAUUUAUGUACGCGGAAUUGGCAAGUUGAGUUGUUAUGUCACAAAGGGUGUAACGAGCGAAACUAAGUCCCGGUGAAAAUUAAUACGUGGUGCUGUAACACUUCGUAAUUGGAGUGAUAGUAUAAGUCGAUUGCAUUUUCGCUUAGUUAAUACCGUAAACUGGCUGUUUUAGAUCCAUAUUAGGCGAAAAAUUCUUCCCAGCCCAUUACGUUACAAACCAGUGUUGAAAAAAGAACUAGGUUGAUUGGCGCAAACGUAAUCGUAAAUAGUUCAUUACUGUUAGAUAUAUUUAAUUAGUUAUUACUCGAUUUAUAUG